GACGAACGCUGGCGGCGUGCUUAACACAUGCAAGUCGAACGGAAAGGCCCUGCUUUUGUGGGGUGCUCGAGUGGCGAACGGGUGAGUAACACGUGAGUAACCUGCCCUUGACUUUGGGAUAACUUCAGGAAACUGGGGCUAAUACCGGAUAGGAGCUCCUGCUGCAUGGUGGGGGUUGGAAAGUUUCGGCGGUUGGGGAUGGACUCGCGGCUUAUCAGCUUGUUGGUGGGGUAGUGGCUUACCAAGGCUUUGACGGGUAGCCGGCCUGAGAGGGUGACCGGCCACAUUGGGACUGAGAUACGGCCCAGACUCCUACGGGAGGCAGCAGUGGGGAAUAUUGCACAAUGGGCGGAAGCCUGAUGCAGCAACGCCGCGUGCGGGAUGACGGCCUUUGGGUUGUAAACCGCUUUCGCCUGUGACGAAGCGUGAGUGACGGUAAUGGGCAAAGAAGCACCGGCUAACUACGUG
Molecule: ribosomal RNA, 468 nt
Filed under: uncultured bacterium
Lineage: Bacteria
Description: partial 16S ribosomal RNA
Rfam family: Bacterial small subunit ribosomal RNA
Source: RNAcentral